ACGGAGGAUGCAAGCGUUAUUCGGAAUUAUUGGGCUUAAAGGGCGUGUAGGCGGCAUGAUAAGUCAGAUGUGAAAUCCCUGGGCUCAACUCAGGAAGUGCAUUUGAUACUGUUUCGCUUGAGUACUGGAGAGGGAAGAGGAAUUCCUGGUGUAGCGGUGAAAUUCGUAGAUAUAAGGAGGAACACCGGUGGCGAAGGCGACUUACUGGAUAGAAACUGACGCUGAGGCGCGAGAGCGUGGGGAGCAAACAG
This 251-nucleotide ribosomal RNA is filed under the name uncultured prokaryote. Its description in RNAcentral is "partial 16S rRNA". It matches the Rfam family "Bacterial small subunit ribosomal RNA", at positions 525 to 775 of the family's 1533-position model. The record is from RNAcentral.